AACCUUAUGGACCUGCGGGCGUAUACCUGCGGAAGGAUCAUUAUCAAAACAGCGGCCUUCGGGCCUUGCUGCACCCUUGUCUUUUGCGCACCGUAUUGUUUCCUCGGCGGGCUUGCCUGCCGGUUGGACAUUAUCAAACCUUUUCGUAGUUGCAAUCAGCGUCAGAAAAACAAUAAUUAUUACAACUUUUAACAAUGGAUCU
This 202-nucleotide unclassified non-coding RNA is filed under the name soil metagenome. Its description in RNAcentral is "partial contains 5.8S ribosomal RNA, internal transcribed spacer 2, and large subunit ribosomal RNA". The record is from RNAcentral.